This 458-nucleotide ribosomal RNA is filed under the name uncultured bacterium. Its description in RNAcentral is "partial 16S ribosomal RNA". It matches the Rfam family "Bacterial small subunit ribosomal RNA", at positions 338 to 795 of the family's 1533-position model. The record is from RNAcentral.
CCUACGGGAUGCAGCAGUGAGGAAUAUUGGUCAAUGGGCGCGAGCCUGAACCAGCCAAGUCGCGUGAGGGAAGACGGUCCUAUGGGUUGUAAACCUCUUUUAUCGGGGAGCAAAAGACGCCACGCGUGGCGUUCCGAGAGUACCCGAAGAAAAAGCAUCGGCUAACUCCGUGCCAGCAGCCGCGGUAAUACGGAGGAUGCGAGCGUUAUCCGGUUUUAUUGGGUUAAAGGAGUCGCAGGCGGAAGAUUAAGGCAGCGGUAACAUUGAGAGGCUAAACCUCUUCGAGCCGUUGAAACUGGUUGUCUUGAGUGAGCGAGAAGUAUACGGAAUGCGUGGUGUAGCGGUGAAAUGCAUAGAUAUAACGCAGAACUCCGAUUGCGAAGGCAGCAUACCGGCGCUCAACUGACGUUCAUGCACGAAAGUGUGGGUAUCGAACAGGAGUAGAUACCCUAGUAGUC